RNAcentral lists this ribosomal RNA (450 nucleotides) under uncultured bacterium. RNAcentral describes it as "partial 16S ribosomal RNA". It matches the Rfam family "Bacterial small subunit ribosomal RNA", at positions 29 to 523 of the family's 1533-position model. The record is from RNAcentral.
AACGAACGCUGGCGGCAGGCCUAACACAUGCAAGUCGAACGGUUGUAGCAAUACAGCAGUGGCGCACGGGUGAGUAACGCGUGGGAACGUGCCCUUCAGUACGGAAUAACAGUUGGAAACGACUGCUAAUACCGUAUAUUUCCCUCGGGGGAAAGAUUUAUCGCUGAAGGAUCGGCCCGCGUAAGAUUAGGUAGUUGGUGGGGUAAUGGCCUACCAAGCCUACGAUCUUUAGCUGGUCUGAGAGGAUGAUCAGCCACACUGGAACUGAGACACGGUCCAGACUCCUACGGGAGGCAGCAGUGGGGAAUAUUGGACAAUGGGCGAAAGCCUGAUCCAGCCAUGCCGCGUGAGUGAUAAGGCCUUAGGGUUGUAAAGCUCUUUCGCCGAUGAAGAUAAUGACGGUAGUCGGAGAAGAAGCCCCGGCUAACUUCGUGCCAGCCGCCGCGGUAA